RNAcentral lists this ribosomal RNA (253 nucleotides) under uncultured bacterium. RNAcentral's name for it is "partial 16S ribosomal RNA". It matches the Rfam family "Bacterial small subunit ribosomal RNA", at positions 524 to 776 of the family's 1533-position model. The record is from RNAcentral.
GACGUAGGGGGCCAGCGUUGUUCGGAAUUACUGGGUGUAAAGGGUUCGUAGGCGGUGCGGCAAGUUGGGAGUGAAAUCUCUGGGCUUAACCCAGAGGCUGCUUCCAAAACUGCUGUGCUUGAGUGUGGGAGAGGCGCGUGGAAUUGCAGGUGUAGCAGUGAAAUGCGUAGAUAUCUGCAGGAACACCCGCGGCGAAAGCGGCGCGCUGGACCACUACUGACGCUGAGGAACGAAAGCUAGGGGAGCAAACAGG